CAGCAGAGUUUGAUCCUGGCUCAGGACGAACGCUGGCGGCGUGCUUAACACAUGCAAGUCGAGCGACGCCCACUCUUCGGGGUGGUGACGGAGCGGCGAACGGGUGAGUAACACGUGGGCAACCCACCCUUGGUACCGGGAUAGCCCGGGGAAACCCGGAUUAAUACCGGAUGGCCCAACAGCUCUUCGGGGCGGUUGGAAAAGAUAGCUUCGGCCUUCGACCAAGGACGGGCCCGCGGCGGAUUAGCUUGUUGGUGAGGUAACGGCCCACCAAGGCGACGAUCCGUAGCUGGCUUGAGAGAGCGACCAGCCACACUGGAACUGAGACACGGUCCAGACUCCUACGGGAGGCAGCAGUGGGGAAUCUUCGGCAAUGGGCGCAAGCCUGACCGAGCGACGCCGCGUGGAGGACGAAGGCCUUCGGGUUGUAAACUCCUGUCGAGGGGGAAGAAGGGGUGUCAAAACCCUUGACUGAUCCCUGGAGGAAGCACGGGCUAAGUUCGUGCCAGCAGCCGCGGUA
Molecule: ribosomal RNA, 520 nt
Filed under: uncultured bacterium
Lineage: Bacteria
Description: bacterial SSU rRNA
Rfam family: Bacterial small subunit ribosomal RNA
Source: RNAcentral